UGGUCUUCACAUUGCCACGC
Molecule: non-coding RNA, 20 nt
Filed under: Arabidopsis thaliana (thale cress)
Lineage: Eukaryota; Viridiplantae; Streptophyta; Magnoliopsida; Brassicales; Brassicaceae
Source: RNAcentral